AACGAACGCUGGCGGCAUGCCUAACACAUGCAAGUCGAACGAGACCUUCGGGUCUAGUGGCGCACGGGUGCGUAACGCGUGGGAACCUGCCCUUAGGUUCGGAAUAACUCCCCGAAAGGGGUGCUAAUACCGGAUAAUGUCUUCGGACCAAAGAUUUAUCGCCUUUGGAUGGGCCCGCGUUGGAUUAGCUAGUUGGUAGGGUAAAAGCCUACCAAGGCUACGAUCCAUAGCUGGUCUGAGAGGAUGAUCAGCCACACUGGGACUGAGACACGGCCCAGACUCCUACGGGAGGCAGCAGUGGGGAAUAUUGGACAAUGGGCGAAAGCCUGAUCCAGCAAUGCUGCGUGAGUGAUGAAGGCCUUAGGGUUGUAAAGCUCUUUUACCCGGGAUGAUAAUGACAGUACCGGGAGAAUAAGCUCCGGCUAACUCCGUG
RNAcentral lists this ribosomal RNA (433 nucleotides) under uncultured bacterium. RNAcentral's name for it is "partial 16S ribosomal RNA". It matches the Rfam family "Bacterial small subunit ribosomal RNA", at positions 29 to 507 of the family's 1533-position model. The record is from RNAcentral.